GAUUAUGGCUCAGAACGAACGCUGGCGGCAGGUCUUAGGCAUGCAAGUCGAACGGAUGACAGAGAGCUUGCUCUCUGAAGUCAGUGGCGCACGAGUGAGUAACGCGUGGGAAACUGCCCUUCACUGGGGAAUAACGUUUGGAAACGAACGCUAAUACCGCAUACGCCCGCAAGGGGAAAGAUUUAUCGGUGAUGGAUGUGCCCGCGUUGGAUUAGCCAGUUGGUGGGUAAUGGCCUACCAAAGCAAUGAUCCAUAGCUGGUCUGAGAGGACGAUCAGCCACGCUGGAACUGAGACACGGUCCAGACUCCUACGGGAGGCAGCAGCUAAGAAUAUUGGGCAAUGGGGGAAACCCUGACCCAGCCCAUGCCGCGUGAAUGAAGAAGGCCUUCGGGUUGUAAAGUUCUUUUAGUCAUGAAGAUGAUGACAGUAGUGACAGAAAAAGCACCGGCUAACUUCGUGCCAGCCGCCGC
This 471-nucleotide ribosomal RNA is filed under the name uncultured bacterium. RNAcentral's name for it is "bacterial SSU rRNA". It matches the Rfam family "Bacterial small subunit ribosomal RNA", at positions 15 to 518 of the family's 1533-position model. The record is from RNAcentral.